UUCUCUCUCUCUCUCUCUUCUUUCCUCUCUCUCUAAAAUCAAUAAACAUAUCCUCAGGUGACAAUUUUAAAAAAGCACAUGUAAACUGCUUAGCACAGCCCGUGGUGUUCAGUUAAGUGUAUAACGAAUAUUAUGCUUCUCCCCACUCCCUUGCCCAGCCCUGCCCCAGUAGAGUGUAGUGGUGCUUAAAAAUGUAUGCAUUUCCUUUCUAAGUUAUUCUGGUCUCUCCUUUAUGGCAUAACCCCCAAUUCUUAAACAAAUUAUUUCUUCCCUUAAUAAAAACUUUCACUGCCCUUUCUUCCAUAGCAUUCAGUAGAAAGUCCCAAUUACUGAGAGUUUGGCUUUUUAAGUCUCUGUGUGUUUUCCCAGCUUCAUUUUUUGUCACUUUUCCCCUCACACUAGUUACACUAGCCAAGCUUAACUAUUUACACAAGUUGUUCUUUGAGCCUGAAACAGAGACAUUAUAAAAAUUUUUGAUGCCCACAGGAAGUAAAUGGUAGGACUUGUUCUUAAGGGAAUAGAAUGAAACUGCUAAAAGUGCAAAAACACUCCGCCUCCACCUCAGUCCAAUUUCCUGUACCAUGUCUUUGGGUCUCCCACACCAUUCAUUUUUUGUACCCUUUGGAUUUUAGUGCCCUGAGCUUCAACUUCCCCAUCUUUCUUUUGAUCCUAGCCUGGCAUACUUUUCACCCCUCUUAAUCAGAUUAAUUCUCAUCCUCUAGACUGAGUUAUGUUCUCUUCAGAGCUCCCAUGGCACCCUGAGCAUCCUUAUGGCCUCAGCGAUAAUCAUAUUAGAUAGCAAUGUUUUUCAGAGUGUGGGCCUUAGACCAUUUGUUAGAAUUACAUUUGGUGUUUGAUAAAAUAAUUGAUUCAUAGCUCUAAGCCCUGAUCUACUUAAUUAGAACAUCUGGACACAUGGGUGGAAUUUUACAUUUUUAACCAGCUUUCCUGAUAAUUCUGAUGCACACACAAAUUUAAUGUAUAACAAUCAACUUCUGCACUAGACUAUGAAUACCUUGAGGGCAGGGACUAUGUCUUUUGUUUUUGUUGUAUUUUUCACACCUGAGUUAGUGUGUGGAACAGAGUAGUUGCCUAAUGUUUAUUGAACAAAUGAAUGAAUGAUCAACAUACAUUGAUAUCCAUAUUGGUGUUUGUUGUUUCCUGGGCCGAUAAGCUUGGGCUUUUCCAUUUGGGCUAUACUGAUUAUAUUUUGCAGAUGUCCCACGACUUAUAUGUGUAAAUGAGUAUUGUCCUCCUCAAAAGCUCUUUGGAAGUUGACCUGGGGAAUUGUCUGGAGUAUGUGGCACCAUUCUUUUCAAUAUUUUUCAAAUUUGUUCUUUGAAAGUAGAUUUAAAUUUUGGUUACAACCAAAAAUCACUUAGAGCUGAGCCUACUGAGUAAAGCAGGAAAUGAAACUGGGCUUGGGAUAAGCAAUUAAGUUGCUGAGCCAAAUAAUGAAAUAAUAAUUGCUUUCCAAGAGACACCAUGGUGACAAAGUACUCAGUGGGGGUAUGGAGAGUUCCAGAUACUUACUUAAGUAAAUUUAAGACUUUCAUAGGAUACUGGUAAUGCUAGGAAUCUUAAAAGACCUCAUUGACUACCUUUAGCUGAACCCAGUUGAACAAAGGAAGUAGGACCUGUUUAACAUCAAGGAAGGUAACUCCACAAGUUCCCAUUGCUGUUGCUCUACUCAGUUUAUUCCCCAACAAUCCUUUCUACUAGCAAAUUGUUCUGUCUGCAAUUUAUGCUUAUUUCCACUUUUAUACUGUCUUAUUGAAGAAAGCACAAAUAUAAUAAAAAAUAAAGUUAAACCUG
Molecule: long non-coding RNA, 1815 nt
Organism: Pipistrellus kuhlii (Kuhl's pipistrelle)
Lineage: Eukaryota; Metazoa; Chordata; Mammalia; Chiroptera; Vespertilionidae
Exons: 2
Source: RefSeq, a predicted model, not a curated record